This is a long non-coding RNA of Peromyscus californicus insignis, 2253 nucleotides long. RefSeq lists it as uncharacterized. Lineage: Eukaryota; Metazoa; Chordata; Mammalia; Rodentia; Cricetidae. The record is from RefSeq and is a predicted model, not a curated record. The transcript has 4 exons.
UCUUCCUUUCCUACUUCCCCCUCAACCAAGAGUUGGGAGAGUGGGAAGAAGGCGCCAAGUGCACGCUGCUGGCGGUUGCAGCCCCCCAGAGGCCUGAGAUCGACCACAGGACGGCCCUGCCUGGACCACGUCCACUUGAAAAUCCUGACAGAGCUGAGUCUUGUGUGUGCCUAGGCCCUGCCACAGGGACCUGGUCGGCCUGCCUGUUGAGGCGAGGUUGUGGAUGUCCCCGGACCCUAGUGGUCCCUGCUUCGGAUGAUGUAGGGCAGCAUCCACCUGAAUGCACAUCACUACCAAGGCCAAGGUUUUGGAAGGAAGCCCUUCUCCUCUCCCAUCUCAAUAUUAGACCAUGGGACCCUGGGCCACGGGGCUCAGGCCGCCGACCCUGGAGCCCUGACCAGUGAACACAGCUGCCUGUCCUUUACCCUUGUGUCCAUCCAGGAGCGGCCAUCUGCCAGGGACCUGGUCGGCCUGCCUGUUGAGGCGAGGUUGUGGAUGUCCCCGGACCCUAGUGGUCCCUGCUUCGGAUGAUGUAGGGCAGCAUCCACCUGAACGCACAUCACUACCAAGGCCAAGGUUUUGGAAGGAAGCCCUUCUCCUCUCCCAUCUCAAUAUUAGACCAUGGGACCAUGGGCCACGGGGCUCAGGCCGCCGACCCUGGAGCCCUGACCAGUGAACACAGCUGCCUGUCCUUUACCCUUGUGUCCAUCCAGGAGCGGCCUUCUGCCAGGUGGGAAGCCCGUGCUGGGCCUAGGGUCCCAUUGAGUCGGGUAGUCUCCUCCCUUGUUUUCACACCUCCGCGUGUGCUCUCACUUCUGGGACACCACCAACCCACUGCCCUAGCAGGACCGGGGUCAGCAUGGGAGGCCACAUGGAUACCCAGGGUCUGUGGCACAACCUGUGGACUUGUUGUCCAAGCCUCCAGAGCCAUGCUGAUCUGAGUAGCCUAUGCUACCACCUAGGGCCUAGGUGUCAUCCGGGCCCAAGUAGCUGCUGAGGGCCAUGUCUAGGUCGGUGUCCCUAUGGCAGCCAUGGUCUGAGUUGAUAGCCAGGGCUCCUGUUACCACCAAGGGGCAUGAAGGUGCCUGAGGUCUGGUCUGCCACCUGAGAACAUGCUGGUGUCCCACAGCCAUGCUGCUGCUCUGGUUGGCCUGUGCCAUCACCUGGGGCCGUGGUAUGUCAGGGCCCAAGCUUCAGUCUAGGGCCAUCUCUGGGUCCAUGGCCCCACAGCAGCCAGGGUUUAAGUUGAUGUCCAUGGCAUCUGUUGCAACCAAGGGACAUGCAGAUGCCCAGGGUCUGGUUAGCCACCUCAGACUAUGCUGGUGUCUGAGAGUCAUGCUACUUGAUGCUGGGGCUGAACUGCUCUGAGUGACAUGAGCUGAGACACGGGACAUGGUAACAUCUGGGCCUGAGAUGCUCUGGAGGACCACCUCUGGAUCUGUGGUCCUGCUGUAACUGGAGUCUGUGUUGACAUCUGUGGGCCAUGUAACCAUAGGAGGUCAUGUAUGAUGAAAUCCAAGGGCAGUGCUGAGCCACACCUGCCCUGUGUUGGCCCUAGGAAAGCUGGCCCUGCUCCUCACUAGACACUGCAGCUAGAGUGCUGACCUUGACCCUCACAGGAGAGCUGGCCCCAAUGACUCUGGCAUGGAGAGCUGGCCCCCUAUACUUAGGAGAGUUGGCCCCACCUCUCAACACAGGCAUGAGAGAGAUGACCCUGAUGCCAUGGGCAUAGGAGAGCUGGUUCCACCUCCACCUGAGGGGGCAGCCUUAGUAUCAAGGACUGACCAACUCAACUACCACCCAGGUCCAUAUCCAGGGCCUUGGAUUGGCCCACCCUAACAUCAACCCCAUCUAGGACCUGCUGGCGCAUGUGAAGGGACUGGUUCUGCAGAUCUCCAUGACUAGGGGCAGCCAUGGGAUAUCAGAGAGGAGUUUCUGUGAGGAUUCAGUGAUGAUGGUGUACCACAAACCAGAGUCCUUGAACCAGACCAAUGACUCAUUGCAAUUUUCAUUUUCGGAUGGGGCUGAUUGAACAAAGGGUAUCCUGCAGGACACACCGGGGAUCCCAAUGCCACUCAAAUGAAUGAAGAGAUGUUGAAGAGGCGGGAGAGACAAAAGAGAGAAGUGGGCUUUUUUGUUUGCGUGGUUGGUUGGUUAGUUGGUUGGUUGGUUUAGUUUGGUAUUUUUUUUAUUUUAUUAUAGUGGAGGGCUGCUGCAAGGGUGAAGGGAGGAUAGGGAGGACUGGGAAAGGAG